Molecule: long non-coding RNA, 237 nt
Filed under: Monodelphis domestica (gray short-tailed opossum)
Lineage: Eukaryota; Metazoa; Chordata; Mammalia; Didelphimorphia; Didelphidae
Description: lncRNA (ENSMODG00000033194.2)
Source: RNAcentral
AAGCUCAGGGAAGAGCAGAGCCAUCCAGGAGAGAACUUGGAGGAAGAGGAAGACAAUAGUUUCCUUGGAAGAGCUGUGAGUACUAGAAAAGUACUGUCCUGUAUCCUGGAGGGACACCAGAUGGAACCAAAAGACCAUGUUAUUUAAGUCAACGAGUCAAAAACUAAAACCUUAAUUUACAACGAAAAAGUUUUUUUAAAAAAUAAACAAUCUAAAUGACUACUUUCCUGAGCCUGU